This is a long non-coding RNA of Micropterus dolomieu (smallmouth bass), 402 nucleotides long. RefSeq lists it as uncharacterized. The transcript is spliced from 3 exons. The record is from RefSeq and is a predicted model, not a curated record. Lineage: Eukaryota; Metazoa; Chordata; Actinopteri; Centrarchiformes; Centrarchidae.
CCGGAGUCCCCCCGCAGUUACUGGCUGUAACUCAGGACAGACUGGGCCUCUUUCGGAUUUGUGGCACUUUUGGUGAAAUAUGACUCUGGUAAGCUCUGCUGCUCAAGGCGCCUGAGGGCAGAGGGGCUGACAUACCCCUCUGUGUGGCGAUGACUGUGAUAUUAUGCCACUGCUCCUGCUCACGGUCCAACUCCAUCACUGUGCUGAUAAAGCCUGUGUCAGAGGCGAUGCGGAACAGAGCCUCGGGGUCUGACUGGGGAUCGAUGGAGUACCUGAGAUACAGAAACAGGCACGAGCCAGAACAGGAAGGAAAAAAGAACGUGAAGAGAGCCCUGAGUGAGCAAGCGAGAGGCUAAAUGAAUCCGGAUCAGUGGCAGUUAGACGGCCCACCUCCACACCUGG